RNAcentral lists this ribosomal RNA (305 nucleotides) under uncultured bacterium. RNAcentral's name for it is "partial 16S ribosomal RNA". It matches the Rfam family "Bacterial small subunit ribosomal RNA", at positions 505 to 807 of the family's 1533-position model. The record is from RNAcentral.
ACAGCAGUAGCCACGGUAAUACGUAGGGUGCGAGCGUUAAUCGGAAUUACUGGGCGUAAAGCGUGCGCAGGCGGUUUUGUAAGACAGGCGUGAAAUCCCCGGGCUCGACCUGGGAAUGGCGCUUGUGACUGCAAAGCUAGAGUGCGGCAGAGGGGGAUGGAAUUCCGCGUGUAGCAGUGAAAUGCGUAGAUAUGCGGAGGAACACCGAUGGCGAAGGCAAUCCCCUGGGCCUGCACUGACGCUCAUGCACGAAAGCGUGGGGAGCAAACAGGAUUAGAUACCCCUGUAGUCCCUGUCUCUUAUAC